UAAAUAGCAACCCAUUGUUUU
RNAcentral lists this non-coding RNA (21 nucleotides) under Caenorhabditis elegans. Lineage: Eukaryota; Metazoa; Nematoda; Chromadorea; Rhabditida; Rhabditidae. The record is from RNAcentral.